This 440-nucleotide ribosomal RNA is filed under the name uncultured bacterium. Its description in RNAcentral is "partial 16S ribosomal RNA". It matches the Rfam family "Bacterial small subunit ribosomal RNA", at positions 338 to 795 of the family's 1533-position model. The record is from RNAcentral.
CCUACGGGGCGCUGCAGUGGGGGAUAUUGCACAAUGGGGGGAACCCUGAUGCAGCGAUGCCGCGUGGGUGAAGAAGCGCCUCGGCGCGUAAAGCCCUGUCAGCAGGGAAGAAAAUGACGGUACCUGAAGAAGAAGCCCCGGCUAACUACGUGCCAGAAGGCGCCGUAAUACGUAGGGGGACAGCGUUAUCCGGAUUUACUGGGUGUAAAGGGGGCGCAGACGGCGAUGCAAGCCAGGAGUGAAAGCCCGGGGGCCAACCCCGGGACUGCUCUUGGAACUGCGUGGCUGGAGUGCAGGAGGGGCAGGCGGAAGUCCUGGGGUAGCGGUGAAAUGCGUAGUUAUCAGGAGGAACACCGGUGGCGAAGGCGGCCUGCUGGACUGCAACUGACGUUGCGUCCCGAAAGCGUGGGGAGCAAACAGGAUUAGAUACCCUAGUAGUC